AGAGAUAGAGUGAGGUGGGAAGGAAAGGCAGAAAAACGUUUAACUUCUUUCUAAGAACCAACAUUCCCUUGUGUUUUUAUUCUUCCAUUAAGCUGAUCCAGAUGGUUAGCAGAGGUCUUCCUCCAGGCAGAGAUCGCUGCCUUCCUGGGCACUGUUGCUGGCCUCCUACGACCAAUAAAGGGUUUGAAGUCCUGAAGAAAUACCUUGACGGUGGCGGUGAUAUCCUUGUGAUGCUAGGAGAGGGUGGGGAAUCCAGAUUUGACACCAAUAUUAACUUUCUUCUAGAAGAAUAUGGAAUCAUGGUUAAUAAUGAUGCUGUGGUUAGAAAUGUAUAUUAUAAGUAUUUCCAUCCUAAGGAAGCUCUAGUUUCCAACGGAGUCCUGAAUAGGGAAAUUAGCCGAGCUGCAGGGAAGGCCGUGCCUGGAAUCAUUGAUGAGGAAAGCAGUGGAAACAAUGCCCAG
Non-coding RNA from Leptonychotes weddellii (Weddell seal), 461 nucleotides. The record is from RefSeq and is a predicted model, not a curated record. Lineage: Eukaryota; Metazoa; Chordata; Mammalia; Carnivora; Phocidae.